This 45-nucleotide non-coding RNA is filed under the name Trypanosoma brucei brucei. The record is from RNAcentral. Lineage: Eukaryota; Euglenozoa; Kinetoplastea; Trypanosomatida; Trypanosomatidae.
AACAAACAAGUACAGAAACCGAUGAGAGAGAAAAUGAAGUUAUAU